GCGCCGGUAGCAAAGCGGUCAAAUGUGAUGGUUUCAAGCACCAUUGGCUUAGUGCCUUCGCAGGUUCGAAUCCUGCCCGGCGCA
This 84-nucleotide transfer RNA is filed under the name Candidatus Woesearchaeota archaeon. RNAcentral describes it as "tRNA-Leu". It matches the Rfam family "tRNA". From Rfam's summary of the family: Transfer RNA (tRNA) molecules are approximately 80 nucleotides in length. Their secondary structure includes four short double-helical elements and three loops (D, anti-codon, and T loops). Further hydrogen bonds mediate the characteristic L-shaped molecular structure. tRNAs have two regions of fundamental functional importance: the anti-codon, which is responsible for specific mRNA codon recognition, and the 3' end, to which the tRNAs corresponding amino acid is attached (by aminoacyl-tRNA synthetases). tRNAs cope with the degeneracy of the genetic code in two manners: having more than one tRNA (with a specific anti-codon) for a particular amino acid; and 'wobble' base-pairing, i.e. permitting non-standard base-pairing at the 3rd anti-codon position. Lineage: Archaea; Nanobdellati; Candidatus Woesearchaeota. The record is from RNAcentral.